This 483-nucleotide ribosomal RNA is filed under the name uncultured bacterium. RNAcentral's name for it is "partial 16S ribosomal RNA". It matches the Rfam family "Bacterial small subunit ribosomal RNA", at positions 30 to 507 of the family's 1533-position model. The record is from RNAcentral.
UUGAACGCUGGCGGCAGGCCUAACACAUGCCAGUCGAGCGGAUGAAGGGAGCUUGCUCCUGGAUUCAGCGGCGGACGGGUGAGUAAUGCCUAGGAAUCUGCCUGGUCGUGGGGGAUAACGUCCGGAAACGGGCGCUAAUACCGCAUACGUCCUGAGGGAGAAAGUGGGGGAUCUUCGGACCUCACGCUAUCAGAUGAGCCUAGGUCGGAUUAGCUAGUUGGUGGGGUAAAGGCCUACCAAGGCGACGAUCCGUAACUGGUCUGAGAGGAGGAUCAGUCACACUGGAACUGAGACACGGUCCAGACUCCUACGGGAGGCAGCAGUGGGGAAUAUUGGACAAUGGGCGAAAGCCUGAUCCAGCCAUGCCGCGUGUGUGAAGAAGGUCUUCGGAUUGUAAAGCACUUUAAGUUGGGAGGAAGGGCAGUAAGUUAAUACCUUGCUGGUUUGACGUUACCAACAGAAGAAGCACCGGCUAACUUCGUG